Molecule: long non-coding RNA, 1043 nt
Filed under: Lepisosteus oculatus (spotted gar)
Lineage: Eukaryota; Metazoa; Chordata; Actinopteri; Semionotiformes; Lepisosteidae
Description: lncRNA (ENSLOCG00000021026.1)
Source: RNAcentral
UUGCAGGCACGCGGUGCUGUUGGUGAGAGACCUGUUGCUGGACCUGUUAAAAGGCGAUUAGCUGGAAGGCGGGACGAAUCAGAGGAGCCUACCUGCACGUCCUCAUUCUCCCCCAUGUGUGGUCAGGGGGUUCAUAGCCGCAAGCCGAGACACAAAAACCACACCAACAACUAUUGCAAUAUGUUGUGGGUAUAACAAAGAUAGUGGCAAUUCUUACUAGGUUGGUUUCCUAAUUGUUCUGUUUGUGUUUCUUCCCCGUCUUCUAAAACCUGUAGAAGGAUGUGACGCUGAAGCCGCAGGAGCGGAGAGAGAAGUGGGAGAGACAGGUCGGGAAGAGGAGGAGGGAGCUGGAGAAUGGCAAGGCGGCGGACCUCGCCGAAAACGGUUACGACAACGAUGGAGGGAGCUCGGAGCGUGAGCGGGACCGGGGGAAGGAUCGGGCGAAGAAGCGAAUAUUGCUGAAGAAAAGCAAACAGAUGAAGGGAUUGCUGGCCCGCGCUGGCAGAAAGAGUGACGAUGAAGCACUGCCAGAGAUGGACGGACCCCAGCGGAGCAACUCCAAAGACCACCUGAGUGAGAGCUCUACCUUCUCAUUGUCAGGACGGGGCUAUUCGGUGAGUACUGUUUGUACACUCUUGUGGCCUUGCAGUUUCAAGAGGAAAAUAAAGGCAGGAUUUCUAUUUUUGCAUCUUCAUUUUUUAAUCAGGGGAAUCAGGCUAAUGAUUUUUUUUAAAGCAGACUCAAGUUGUUGCGCAUCCUUUCUGAUAGUUUACAAACUAGAUUUUGUCUUUUCAUUGUUUGUUUCUGUGCUUUUGUUGGCUGGUAACGGCACUGUUGUGCAGAAGCGAUUCCAAACAAAAGGUAUUAAGAAGCCAUGAAAUGAACAUCGUCAGUCUGCAAGGGGCUCUCGUGUUUUAACACUUUGUCCGAUGAGGUUUUCUGUUUAAUAUUUGUGCCUGCUGGAAUGUUAGAGAGAAUUUACUUUGAACUUAAAUUCUGUCACCAGGUGAAGGUCCUGCACUGUAAGACAAAGACCUUGAACU